Molecule: ribosomal RNA, 585 nt
Filed under: Triticum aestivum (bread wheat)
Lineage: Eukaryota; Viridiplantae; Streptophyta; Magnoliopsida; Poales; Poaceae
Description: partial small subunit ribosomal RNA
Source: RNAcentral
AUGUGCGUACCUAAAAACCAAGGACGGAUGUGAUUUCGUGAUAUUCACUCUUUCAAUCUAGCACUGCUCGCCAUACAGGCAAUGCGCUUUCUGGAUAAUCCUGAUUCUUUGUGUGCCACAAUUCUAAGGGAUAAAUACUAUCCUGAUGGCGAUUUGUUAAAUUCUAAGCAAAAGAAAGGCUCUUCUUCUACCUGGCAAAGUAUUAUGGCUGGCAUAAAUUCUCUGAAACGUGGCUAUAUUUGGCGUGUGGGGAAUGGACAAAAUAUAAAUAUUUGGGAAGAUGCCUGGAUUCCAAAUUGUGAUACUAGAAAAGUUGUGACACCUAAGGGGGGACAACUGUUAACUAAGGUGGAUGAUUUGAUUGAUCUUGUUUCAAAUUCUUGGGACGAAGAUCUGAUUACACAGACAAUGUGGCCCAUUGAUGUUCAACGGAUUCUGUCAAUUCCAAUCUCGCAACAUGAUAUGCCAUAUUUCAUUGCUUGGAGUUAUACGAAAAAUGGUAUGUUCUCGGUUCGGUCUGCUUAUUUUGUGGAGUGUAACCAUCAGUAUGGAAGUAGACAACGACAUUCUAACGGGAUGGGGUGA